Molecule: ribosomal RNA, 497 nt
Filed under: uncultured bacterium
Lineage: Bacteria
Description: partial 16S ribosomal RNA
Rfam family: Bacterial small subunit ribosomal RNA
Source: RNAcentral
GAUGAACGCUGGCGGCGUGCCUAAUACAUGCAAGUCGAGCGAACGGACGAGAAGCUUGCUUCUCUGAUGUUAGCGGCGGACGGGUGAGUAACACGUGGAUAACCUACCUAUAAGACUGGGAUAACUUCGGGAAACCGGAGCUAAUACCGGAUAAUAUUUUGAACCGCAUGGUUCAAAAGUGAAAGACGGUCUUGCUGUCACUUAUAGAUGGAUCCGCGCUGCAUUAGCUAGUUGGUAAGGUAACGGCUUACCAAGGCAACGAUGCAUAGCCGACCUGAGAGGGUGAUCGGCAACACUGGAACUGAGACACGGUCCAGACUCCUACGGGAGGCAGCAGUAGGGAAUCUUCCGCAAUGGGCGAAAGCCUGACGGAGCAACGCCGCGUGAGGGAUGAAGGUCUUCGGAUCGUAAAACUCUGUUAUUAGGGAAGAAAAUAUGUGUAAGUAACUGUGCACAUCUUGACGGUACCUAAUCAGAAAGCAACGGCUAACUACGUG